Molecule: ribosomal RNA, 66 nt
Filed under: Candidatus Roizmanbacteria bacterium RIFCSPHIGHO2_02_FULL_37_13b
Lineage: Bacteria; Candidatus Roizmaniibacteriota
Description: partial 23S ribosomal RNA
Source: RNAcentral
ACCCCGGGAGCUUUACUGAAGCUAGACAUUGGCAAGAGGUAUUUAAUUGUUUAGAGUAGGAGGGAG